GAUGAACGCUAGCGGCAGGCCUAACACAUGCAAGUCGAGGGGUAACAGAGGAGCUUGCUUCUGCUGACGACCGGCGCACGGGUGCGUAACGCGUAUACAAUUUGCCUUGUACUGGAGGAUAGCCCGGAGAAAUCCGGAUUAAUACUCCAUAACAUCAUGAAUUCGCAUGUUUUUAUGAUUAAAGCUUCGGCGGUACAAGAUGAGUAUGCGUCCUAUUAGCUAGAUGGUGAGGUAACGGCUCACCAUGGCGACGAUAGGUAGGGGGCCUGAGAGGGUUGUCCCCCACACUGGUACUGAGACACGGACCAGACUCCUACGGGAGGCAGCAGUGAGGAAUAUUGGUCAAUGGAGGAAACUCUGAACCAGCCAUGCCGCGUGAAGGAAGAAUGUCCUACGGAUUGUAAACUUCUUUUAUUUGGGAAGAAACUUCUCUACGUGUAGAGAACUGACGGUACCAAACGAAUAAGGACCGGCUAACUCCG
This 482-nucleotide ribosomal RNA is filed under the name uncultured Crocinitomix sp. Its description in RNAcentral is "bacterial SSU rRNA". It matches the Rfam family "Bacterial small subunit ribosomal RNA", at positions 28 to 505 of the family's 1533-position model. The record is from RNAcentral. Lineage: Bacteria; Pseudomonadati; Bacteroidota; Flavobacteriia; Flavobacteriales; Crocinitomicaceae.